This is a long non-coding RNA of Rosa chinensis, 1519 nucleotides long. RefSeq lists it as uncharacterized. The record is from RefSeq and is a predicted model, not a curated record. NCBI's taxonomy places the organism in Eukaryota, Viridiplantae, Streptophyta, Magnoliopsida, Rosales, Rosaceae. The transcript has 8 exons.
UUUUUUGAGCGAAUCGCGCGGAGAGAGAAGAGUGCAGCGGAGGAGUGAGAGAAAAGGAGAUUUUGUUUCCGCCGUGCCCAGAAUAGCCCAAUAGAAAUCGGAGAAGCUGAUCCAGGAAUUGUAUUUGCCUAAUCUACAUCAGUGUAACUUUGGGUUAGGGUAACAGAGCGAAGAGGAAUACCAGGAGCUUAGUUCGUAGAAGAUGUGCAGUCCUUCCAACCUUCCACGUGUAGUGAUCGAUUACCAUACACACCUAUCGGCUUGAUGUCCUUUUUUUUUUGUCUUUGUCUUGAUUUUAGUCAUUUGUUCUGCACAUACAUGGGAUUUGAGUGAAGUAACAGAGGACGGACUGUAUUGUGGCCACUGAGCUUGCGAAGCCCCUCACUGCUUACUGCAUGCAAUGACAGAAACGAGUUUGGAGUAGAAUCUCAGCCAAAAGAGGCUGAGGAAAGUGUGAGCUCCAUGUUGUGACAAAGCUAAUGUCAAAAAAGGACAGUGGUCUCCUGAGGAAGAUAAAGCUAAGUCUUGGGACUCAUGGAACUGGUGGCAAUUGGAUUCAUCUGCCACAAAAAGCUGGCUUUUAGAUUCUUCAACAAGAAUCAAGUUGACCACAUUAAGGGUGAUCAGAACAGUGGUUUUCUAAUAAAGAAGCCAAGCUGCCGAAAUUGCAGACAGUCACCCCUCAAUUUGGAACUUUGUUUCUUCCAUGACUUGGCAUCUGAGUAAUCGACUGCAAUACUUUGAAGGUUAAGCAAUAUCAGUAUACCAAAGAUACAAAACGAAUUGCUUCUAAAAAGUCAUGGUUCUCUUACGAAUCUGGUCUGGGAAUGGCUUCCUGUGAUUUUGAUCAUUGAUUUAUUUGUAUUAUCCUCCAACACUGUGGCACUCAAAGGUCAGACGAUAAAGUAUUUACAGUCUUGGACAUCAUUUUACACUUUUCAAUUUCAAUAUAUGCAUCACUAUUUAUGCCUGGUAAAUGCUAAAUGCAUAUAUCCACGUAGUUUAGUGUUGUUUAAUGUGAUGUUCAUGAUGUAAAUAGAUACUUCUUCUUGAUUUGAUGUGGAGGUGUGCAUUAGCUAAUAUUAUGUUUUCAUAGCAUUUCUUAAAUUCUCCAUCUGUAAGAUUUUUUAACUUUGGAUGAUGACUGCAGUUGAACAUCUUUCUUUUUCUUCUUUGGGUGAAACAGUGAUAACUCGAUCAGCUAUGAGUAGGUGUAUAGCAGCCUCCUUCAGUACUCAUGUUGUAAAGUUUUUAGUCACACAAAGGUGCUGAACUUGGGAACUUUGAGAUCUUUUCUCACAUGUUGUUUGUUAUAGGAGAGAUCUUCUAUCAUUGUUGUGUCUGAAAUCUCUUUCUUUGAGAAAUGCAGCACUUUUGAAAAUUGUUUUUGUUAUUUCCUGCAAAGGAAGAGGCAGUGACAGAUUAUUAAUAUGAAUGUUGUAAAAUAUGUUGCAGUAAACAUGUAAAAUGUUUGUCAUUAAUGAAAUCGAUAUCUGAUAGCUUUUAGUUCUCCUUACAA